AAAUAAAGCAAAAGGCCCAACAAAUGGAGGAGAAAAGCAAAUGUAAGGUGUGUGUUACAGGAGGUGCAGGGUAUAUAGGUUCUUCUGUUGUAAAGAAAAUUUUUCAAUAAUGGCUAUACUGUUCAUGCUACCCUCAGGAACUUAGAGGAUGAGUCAAAGGUUGGGCUAUUGAAGAGCUUCAGUGGUGCAGAUAAAAGGCUCAAGUUAUUUCAAGCUGACAUUUAUAGGCCAGAGGAAUUUGAGGAGGCUAUUCAAGGCUGUGAAUUUGUUUUCCAUGUUGCCACCCCUUUGUUGCAUUCUGAAGGAUUUCAGUACAAAAAUAAAACUGAGGCUACAUUCGAUGCAGUGAAGAAAAUUGGAAUGGCUUGCCUUAAAUCUGGGACAGUGAAGAGACUUAUCUAUACUGCCUCUAUUGUAUCUGCUUCUCCAAUGAAGGAAGAUAGGAGUGGUUUCAAAGAAUUGAUAGAUGAAACAUGUUGGACACCUCUUAAUUUCUCUAAUCCUUAUACCCAGCUGCUGGGGCUUAGGGUAAGCCUAAUGUAUUUUUUCAAAAUAUUUAGAGUUUAACUUAAAGCA
Molecule: long non-coding RNA, 576 nt
Organism: Lycium ferocissimum
Lineage: Eukaryota; Viridiplantae; Streptophyta; Magnoliopsida; Solanales; Solanaceae
Exons: 3
Source: RefSeq, a predicted model, not a curated record